This 468-nucleotide ribosomal RNA is filed under the name uncultured bacterium. Its description in RNAcentral is "partial 16S ribosomal RNA". It matches the Rfam family "Bacterial small subunit ribosomal RNA", at positions 28 to 507 of the family's 1533-position model. The record is from RNAcentral.
GACGAACGCUGGCGGCGUGCUUAACACAUGCAAGUCGAACGGAAAGGCCCUGCUUUUGUGGGGUGCUCGAGUGGCGAACGGGUGAGUAACACGUGAGUAACCUGCCCUUGACUUUGGGAUAUCUUCAGGAAACUGGGGCUAAUACCGGCUAGGAGCUCCUGCUGCAUGGUGGGGGUUGGAAAGUUUCGGCGGUUGGGGAUGGACUCGCGGCUUAUCAGCUUGUUGGUGGGGUAGUGGCUUACCAAGGCCUUGACGGGUAGCCGGCCUGCGAGGGUGACCGGCCACAUUGGGACUGAGAUACGGCCCAGACUCGUACGGGAGGCAACGGUGGGGAAUAUUACACAAUAGGCGGAAGCCUGAUGCAACAACGCCGCGUGCGGGAUGACGGCCUUGGGGUUGUAAACCGCUUUCGCCUGUGACGAGGCGUGAGUGACGGUAAUGGGAGAAGAAGCACCGGCUAACUACGUG